Long non-coding RNA from Phodopus roborovskii (desert hamster), 706 nucleotides. RefSeq lists it as uncharacterized. The record is from RefSeq and is a predicted model, not a curated record. Lineage: Eukaryota; Metazoa; Chordata; Mammalia; Rodentia; Cricetidae. The transcript has 3 exons.
UAUUCUUGUGAGGACUUGUUUGGGCAGUUCUCCCGACUGCAGGCAUCUUUGGGAGUGCAGUUAGACACAUCAGAAAGCAGAAAUGGAGAAAGUGUCCUUUGAGGAUGUGGCUGUGAACUUCACCACAGGAGAGUGGGCAUUGUUGGAUGUAUGUCAAAAGAAGCUCUACAGAGAUGUGAUGAAAGAAACGUUUUUGAACCUGAUCUCCAUAGAAAAAGCAGUAGAAGAAAAUAUUGGAGAGGACAGCAAAGACAUCAGCAGAAACAUGCGGUAAUUCAUAUUCAAAAGAAAGGAAUUGAUCUCAUAUAUUUGAAAAUCAUUGGACAACUGAAUGCCUAUCAAAAUGUCUAAAGAAAAGUAACUGAAUAAUAAUCUCUAAACAUAUUUCUGUAAUAGAGCAUUGCAUUGUGCCAUUCAAUAUUUGAGUAUUUCAUCUUUAUAGUAUAUUAAGAUCACAAAUGUGUCAUGUAACAUUAACCUUUGAAUGGAUUUUAUCUUUGGUUUAUUACACACAAACCUUCAAAUUAUUUUCUGUCUUUCUAUGUAUGAUUUUGAGGGUUUGACCAUAAGUUCUGUUUUUUUGUUUUUGUUUUUUGGAUUUUGGGGGUUUUUUUGUUUGUUUUGUUUUUGUUUGUUUGUUUGUUAUGCUUUCAUAUGCUAUGACAAUAAAAAAAGAAAGAAAAAAGCAACUCUGGGGUAGAACUCA